Molecule: signal recognition particle RNA, 299 nt
Filed under: Bos indicus x Bos taurus (hybrid cattle)
Lineage: Eukaryota; Metazoa; Chordata; Mammalia; Artiodactyla; Bovidae
Description: Metazoan signal recognition particle RNA (ENSBIXG00005022904.1)
Rfam family: Metazoan signal recognition particle RNA
About the family: The signal recognition particle (SRP) is a universally conserved ribonucleoprotein. It is involved in the co-translational targeting of proteins to membranes.
Source: RNAcentral
GCCGGGCGCAGUGGCACGCACCUGUAGUCCCAGCUACUUGGGAGGCUGAGGCUGCAGGAUCGCUUGAGCUCAGGAGUUCUGGGCUGCAGUGCGCUAUGCCGAUCAGGUGCCUGCACUAAGUUCGGCAUUAAUAUGGUGACCUCCCGGGAGCGGAGGACCACCAGGUUGCCUAAGGAGGGGUGAACCGGCCCAGGUCGGAAAUGGAGCAGGUCAAAACUCCCGUGCUGAUCAGUAGUGGGAUCGCGCCUGUGAAUAGCCACUGUACUCCAGCCUGGGCAACAUAGCAACACCACGUCUCU